This 292-nucleotide ribosomal RNA is filed under the name uncultured bacterium. Its description in RNAcentral is "partial 16S ribosomal RNA". It matches the Rfam family "Bacterial small subunit ribosomal RNA", at positions 505 to 796 of the family's 1533-position model. The record is from RNAcentral.
GUGUCAGCAGCCGCGGUAAUACAGAGGUCCCGAGCGUUGUUCGGAUUCACUGGGCGUAAAGGGUGCGUAGGUGGUGAGGUAAGUCGGAUGUGAAAUCUCGGAGCUCAACUCCGAAACGGCAUUGGAAACUACCUUGCUGGAGGGUUGGAGGGGGGACUGGAAUGCUUGGUGUAGCAGUGAAAUGCGUAGAUAUCAAGCGGAACACCGGUGGCGAAGGCGAGUCCCUGGACAACACCUGACACUGAGGCACGAAAGCUAGGGGAGCAAACAGGAUUAGAAACCCGCGUAGUCC